Long non-coding RNA from Arachis duranensis, 266 nucleotides. RefSeq lists it as uncharacterized. The transcript has 3 exons. NCBI's taxonomy places the organism in Eukaryota, Viridiplantae, Streptophyta, Magnoliopsida, Fabales, Fabaceae. The record is from RefSeq and is a predicted model, not a curated record.
UUUCACCAUUGUUACUAUUCACUUCAAACUUCCCAAGCUCAUAUCUUGAGCUACGGAGCUCCGAUCGCCGCACCGUUUGCGGCUACGCGUUCCUUGUGAAGAGCUCUACAAAACCCACCCAAGAAACCCUCAAGGUUUGCUCUAAUCCUUGCUUAGCUUUGGAUUUGUGUUAUCAAAUCUGUUGGGAAAGUUUGAUUAUUGUGGCUUUGGGAGCUUUUAGAACUUAUUUGUGCUUGUUGGAGUGAAUUUGAAAGCUUGGAUUGUGG